Long non-coding RNA from Eriocheir sinensis (Chinese mitten crab), 951 nucleotides. RefSeq lists it as uncharacterized. The transcript is spliced from 3 exons. NCBI's taxonomy places the organism in Eukaryota, Metazoa, Arthropoda, Malacostraca, Decapoda, Varunidae. The record is from RefSeq and is a predicted model, not a curated record.
GCCUCUGUGGUGGAUAGUGGAGUGUUUCCCAUGUGGUAUUGGUGUGCUGGAUAUCCCUUCACUGGUAGCCUGGUAACAUACACUCCCAGGUCUUUCUCUGCCUCUGUGGUGGAUAGUGGAGUGUUUCCCAUGUGGUAUUGGUGUGCUGGAUAUCCCUUCACUGGUAGCCUGGUAACAUGCACUCCCAGGUCUUUCUCUGCCUCUGUGGUGGAUAGUGGAGUGUUUCCCAUGUGGUAUUGGUGUGCUGGAUAUCCCUUCACUGGUAGCCUGGUAACAUAUACUCCCAGGUCUUUCUCUGCCUCUGUGGUGGAUAGUGGAGUGUUUCCCAUGUGGUAUUGGUGUGCUGGAUAUCCCUUCACUGGUAGCCUGGUAACAUAUACUCCCAGGUCUUUCUCUGCCUCUGUGGUGGAUAGUGGAGUGUUUCCCAUGUGGUAUUGGUGUGCUGGAUAUCCCUUCACUGGUAGCCUGGUAACAUACACUCCCAGGUCUUUCUCUGCCUCUGUGGUGGAUAGUGGAGUGUUUCCCAUGUGGUAUUGGUGUGCUGGAUAUCCCUUCACUGGUAGCCUGGUAACAUACACUCCCAGGUCUUUCUCUGCCUCUGUGGUGGAUAGUGGAGUGUUUCCCAUGUGGUAUUGGUGUGCUGGAUAUCCCUUCACUGGUAGCCUGGUAACAUACACUCCCAGGUCUUUCUCUGCCUCUGUGGUGGAUAGUGGAGUGUUUCCCAUGUGGUAUUGAUGUGCUGGAUAUCCCUUCACUGGUAGCCUGGUAACAUACACUCCCAGGUCUUUCUCUGCCUCUGUGGUGGAUAGUGGAGUGUUUCCCAUGUGGUAUUGGUGUGCUGGAUAUCCCCUCCCAAGGUGCAUGACUUUACAUUUUUCUUCAUUGAAUUGUAUCAGCCACUUUUUGUUCCAUUCCUGUAGCUUGGUGAGGUCUGACUGUAGGAAAUCCGCA